RNAcentral lists this ribosomal RNA (645 nucleotides) under uncultured fungus. RNAcentral's name for it is "eukaryotic LSU rRNA". The stretch from base 238 to 392 matches the Rfam family "5.8S ribosomal RNA". The record is from RNAcentral. Lineage: Eukaryota; Fungi.
UAGAGGAAGUAAAAGUCGUAACAAGGUUUCCGUAGGUGAACCUGCGGAAGGAUCAUUAUUGAAUGAAAAAGAGAGUCAAGGUUGUUGCUGGCCGAGAUAAUUGAUUGGCAUGUGCACAUCUUGCUCUUAAUCUCUUUCACACCUGUGCACCUGUUGUAGGUCCUCGAAAAGAGAGAUCUAUGAAUUCUUGCCACGCGCAUAUAUUGCAUGUCGAUAGAAUGUCAUAAAUGAAAAUACAACUUUCAGCAACGGAUCUCUUGGCUCUCGCAUCGAUGAAGAACGCAGCGAAUUGCGAUAAGUAAUGUGAAUUGCAGAUUUUCAGUGAAUCAUCGAAUCUUUGAACGCACCUUGCGCUCCUUGGUAUUCUGAGGAGCAUGCCUGUUUGAGUGUCAUUUGAAUUCUCUCAACCAUGUCUUGAUUUUCAAGAUAAAUGGCUUGGAUUUGAGAGUUGCUGGCGUUUAUCAUCCAGCUCUCUUGAAAUAUAUUAGCGAUGGACGCAGGGUCCUUGCGACGUCAUAAUGAUCGUGGGCUUGGGCCUUGCAUCAGUUCGCUUCCUAAUCAUGUUAUACAAACUCUGUUUUGUAUAAUUCAAACCCUCGACCUCAAAUCAGGUAGGACUACCCGCUGAACUUAAGCAUAUCAAUA